GUCAGGAUGGCCGAGCGGUCUAAGCGACGUUCAGCGUCGCAGGCCUCUCCCCUGGAAGCGUGGGUUCAAAUCCCACUUCUGACA
This is a non-coding RNA of Ameiurus melas (black bullhead), 84 nucleotides long. Lineage: Eukaryota; Metazoa; Chordata; Actinopteri; Siluriformes; Ictaluridae. The record is from the annotation of a GenBank genome assembly.